RNAcentral lists this ribosomal RNA (265 nucleotides) under uncultured bacterium. RNAcentral describes it as "partial 16S ribosomal RNA". It matches the Rfam family "Bacterial small subunit ribosomal RNA", at positions 96 to 354 of the family's 1533-position model. The record is from RNAcentral.
UGGCGAACGGGGUGAGUAACACGUGGGCAACCUGCCCAAAAGAGGGGGAUAACACUUGGAAACAGGUGCUAAUACCGCAUAACCAUAGUUACCGCAUGGUAACUAUGUAAAAGGUGGCUAUGCUACCGCUUUUGGAUGGGCCCGCGGCGCAUUAGCUAGUCGGUGGGGUAAAGGCUUACCAAGGCAAUGAUGCGUAGCCGAACUGAGAGGUUGAUCGGCCACAUUGGGACUGAGACACGGCCCAAACUCCUACGGAAGGCAGCAG